Alexandromys fortis (reed vole) is the source of this 1946-nucleotide long non-coding RNA. RefSeq lists it as uncharacterized. The transcript has 6 exons. The record is from RefSeq and is a predicted model, not a curated record. NCBI's taxonomy places the organism in Eukaryota, Metazoa, Chordata, Mammalia, Rodentia, Cricetidae.
ACAGUUCAGUAUCUAUUCUUGGGGGGCAGGGCUGGAGUACACAGUUCAGUGUCUAUUCUCGGGGGCAGGGCUGCACUCCCAUGUCGUUUUACGCCAAGGUGUGAUGAUCCCCCCACUGGGAAAUAAGUUCAUAUCUGCCAUGUGAACUUUUUCCAACUCCUGCAGACAACGAGGGUCGAAGAAGAAGUCAAGACUGUUGGCAAUUCUUCCUUCAAGUAAGGGGAUCUUGUAGCAUGAUGGUUAACCUUGCCUGUCAAUUUGAGUGACUGAGCGACUGACUAAGUCUCCUGUGUGGGUCUCCACUGGUGUUUCCUGGAAGUGUUAACUGAGCGCAGGAUGUCAGGCAGCACUUUCUGGAGACGACCCAGUGAUUAGGAGGGCUUGAGGGGGGAAACCUGCUGCAUUUUGCCUGCUUGACUUUGGUCCCUGCUGGUGAGUGCGACCUUCAUUGCUGCUUCUGCCUGCACCAUCCCUUUCUGACCUCAAAGCCAAGCUUCCAGCAUGGGCUGAAGACCGGCUGCUCUCCAGGAAUCCUUCAGUCUUUCAAUACUAGGACUGAAACUGCUCUUGUGAAUUGAGAAGCUAGCAGAUUCCAAGCAUCAGAAGACAGCUGGUUUUGGAUGGCUUGACCCGAAGCAUAUAAACUAAUCUAAUAAAUUCUCCCCUCUCCCUCUCCUCCCUCUCCCUCCCCCGUGCACGCACCUUCCCUCCCACACACCCCAGUUCUAUAUACAUGGCUUGGCAUCAGCCUCCAGCCUAACAGGUACACAUCACAAAGACGUAGCAACGAAGACUCCUCAGUUCUGUUUAAUAGGUUCUGAGAAGCUCACGGUGCACAUGUUUCCUUCUAGAACCUCUCCAUGUCCCUCACUGAGGAAUAUUCCAGGCUGUUUUCCUUUUGUUCCUUCACCUUCUUCCUAAUGAUGAGGAAGAGGAAAUGUCAAGGCUAGAAUGCUCUCAGAUUUCUGAAUAGCUGGGCCUAGCCUGCUGGCCACUCACAUGAGAGCCAUCUUUCUGCCGCUGAAUCUGUUUCCCUGCUGCAGAUCCCUUCACGGGCGAUAGAGCCAGCGUUUCCAGUCUUCCAUCAUUGACUACGGACCAGCUGCUCUCCAGGAACACUCCAGGGUCUUGAUACCAAAUUGGGAAAUGCUGAGGCACUAUCCUCAUGUACCAGAGGAACUGCUAGCUUGUCGUCCUCUCUGGUAUGAGGCAGCCCUUGUGGGACCCUUCCAACUACUCAGGCAUGUCGUCUCCAGGACCUAGCAACUAGCAAGUGUUACUAUUUCAAGAUUUAUCCAAUGAAGAGGAAAGAGGGUGAAUGGAAAAAUGUGGAAGAAAGUAUGAAGAUGAGAUGGGGCAGUCCCUAGAUGGAGAUGACUUUGUACUUACCUCAGAGAUUUAAUGAGUGGACAAAAAAGGAAAUCAAGAAGAGGACCCAGAUUCAGUCCCUUGCACCCAUGUGACAGAUGACAGCCAUCUGCAACUCGAGGACCAGGAGAUACAGUCCUUUCCUCUGGCCUCCGUGGGCAUCAGGCAUAUGUACACACAGCUGAGAAAACAAACAAAACUACAGCCGUAGUGAUGUCCAUCUCAUUCUUCUAGGGAACAGUCACUGAUUCAUCGGACAAAUGGAAAAGACAGAUUGGAUGGCUACAUCAUGAUCCACCCCACUGAGCACAGCACGGACAGGCUCUUUCAUAGCUGCAACCGCCUUGGAAAUAGAGCAUUUGCUCUGAGUAUCUGUAGACUGUUUCACAUGAAGACUUUUUUUAUUCAUCAUUCUUUGACACUGAGAUUUUUUUUCUUGACCAUAGGUGGGUGGCACAUCCAACAGCUAUGCGAAUCAAAGCCUUCUGAAAAUAAAUCUUAAGGAAAUUUAUUUCAAAACGAUUUUCAUAUAAUAUAAUUUUAUCACUUAUUAAACACUCAGGUGAAUCUGCCUGUUA